RNAcentral lists this ribosomal RNA (494 nucleotides) under uncultured bacterium. Its description in RNAcentral is "partial 16S ribosomal RNA". It matches the Rfam family "Bacterial small subunit ribosomal RNA", at positions 28 to 507 of the family's 1533-position model. The record is from RNAcentral.
GACGAACGCUGGCGGCGUGCUUAACACAUGCAAGUCGAACGGUGAAGCGCCUUCCUUUUUGGUGGGUGUGGAUGAGUGGCGAACGGGUGAGUAACACGUGAGUAACCUGCCCCCUUCUUCUGGAUAACCGCAUGAAAGUGUGGCUAAUACGGGAUAUUCUGGGUCUGUCGCAUGAUGGGUCUGGGAAAGAUAUUGUUUCGGUGGGGGAUGGGCUCGCGGCCUAUCAGCUUGUUGGUGGGGUGAUGGCCUACCAAGGCGGUGACGGGUAGCCGGCCUGAGAGGGUGGACGGUCACACUGGGACUGAGACACGGCCCAGACUCCUACGGGAGGCAGCAGUGGGGAAUAUUGCACAAUGGGCGCAAGCCUGAUGCAGCGACGCCGCGUGAGGGAUGGAGGCCUGCGGGUUGCGAACCUCUUUCGCCAGUGAAGCAGGCCUGCCUCGUUUGUGGGUGGGUUGACGGUAGCUGGAUAAGAAGCGCCGGCUAACUACGUG